UGGCGACUGCGGACACGGGGUCGGGCACGCCGGGGACUCCUGUUGCCCCGCACGCAAGAGCAAGCCCCCAGCCCCCAGCCCUGUGCAUGCCUCCUGCAGGCCCGCGGGGACCCGGGGCGGCCCCCUUGCUGCACACAAAGCCAGCCGGAACCUCUGAGGGCCCCCUCGUGCAGCCAAGCCACCCACCUCCCGGCCGCCCCACCCCUUCCCUGCCCUGAGCCCCAUCCCCAGCCUGCCCCGACACCACGCAAACCCCACGCAAUCCCGCAUCUCCUGCCCCCCGCCCCCCAGUCUGGGAAACAGAUUAACUCACGCCACCAGCCAUCCCCCCUCCUGCCAUCUAUGGAGCCUCGUUUGGUGGACCCCGCCCCUGCUGACAGUGCCUACGGGACCUUGUGCAUCUUACCUUCUAUGUGUUCUCCUGUCUGUGAAAUGGGCAUGAGAACAGUACCCAUUGUUGAGAGGAUUAAACAAGUCAAUGUGUGUAAAGCAUUUAGACACAGUAAGCACCCAAUAAAUUUUGGCCACUAUUUUCA
This is a long non-coding RNA of Mustela erminea (ermine), 536 nucleotides long. RefSeq lists it as uncharacterized. The record is from RefSeq and is a predicted model, not a curated record. NCBI's taxonomy places the organism in Eukaryota, Metazoa, Chordata, Mammalia, Carnivora, Mustelidae. The transcript has 2 exons.